Molecule: ribosomal RNA, 224 nt
Filed under: uncultured bacterium
Lineage: Bacteria
Description: partial 16S ribosomal RNA
Rfam family: Bacterial small subunit ribosomal RNA
Source: RNAcentral
UACGUAGGGUGCAAGCGUUAAUCGGAAUUACUGGGCGUAAAGCGUGCGCAGGCGGUGAUGUAAGACAGAUGUGAAAUCCCCGGGCUCAACCUGGGAACUGCAUUUGUGACUGCAUCGCUGGAGUACGGCAGAGGGGGAUGGAAUCCGCGUGUAGCAGUGAAAUGCGUAGAUAUGCGGAGGAACACCGAUGGCGAAGGCAAUCCCUGGGCCUGUACUGACGCUCA